Molecule: ribosomal RNA, 482 nt
Filed under: uncultured bacterium
Lineage: Bacteria
Description: partial 16S ribosomal RNA
Rfam family: Bacterial small subunit ribosomal RNA
Source: RNAcentral
AUUGAACGCUGGCGGCAUGCUUUACACAUGCCAGUCGAACGGUAACAGGCCGCAAGGUGCUGACGAGUGGCGAACGGGUGAGUAAUGCAUCGGAACGUGCCCAGUCGUGGGGGAUAACUACUCGAAAGAGUAGCUAAUACCGCAUACGAUCUAUGGAUGAAAGCGGGGGACCGUAAGGCCUCGCGCGAUUGGAGCGGCCGAUGUCAGAUUAGGUAGUUGGUGGGGUAAAGGCUCACCAAGCCAACGAUCUGUAGCUGGUCUGAGAGGACAACCAGCCACACUGGGACUGAGACACGGCCCAGACUCCUACGGGAGGCAGCAGUGGGGAAUUUUGGACAAUGGGCGCAAGCCUGAUCCAGCAAUGCCGCGUGCAGGAAGAAGGCCUUCGGGUUGUAAACUGCUGUUGUACGGAACGAAACGGCUCUGGUUAAUACCCGGGGCUAAUGACGGUACCGUAAGAAUAAGCACCGGCUAACUACGUG